Molecule: non-coding RNA, 1890 nt
Organism: Candidatus Terrybacteria bacterium RIFCSPLOWO2_02_42_20
Lineage: Bacteria; Candidatus Terryibacteriota
Source: Rfam
ACAGGUCAAGAAUUAUCAAAAUCCUCAGAAACCAAACGUCAGACUCCGCUAAAACGCGGAGAAGAUAGAGUUCGGGCCAUAAAGCGAUUUAUGGAAGGAUACCCUAGCGAAGUUCCUUGUCAGGUAAGUUCUGACGCGCACGAAAAGCGUAACGACCGGAGGACUGUCUCGGGAAAUUGCUCGGUGAAAAUACAAUACCGGUGAAGAUGCCGGUUACCUGCAGCUAGACGAAAAGACCCCGGAAGCUUUACUACAACUUGGUAUUGGCUUUAGGUUUUUGAUGCGUAGCAUAGGCGGGAGGCUUUGAAGUUCUUCUCUCGGGGAGAAUGGAGCCGCCAGUGAAAUACCGCUCUUUAAAAAUUUAAAAUCUAACCUUCGCGGCAAAAACGCGAGGAGACAGUGCCUGGCGGGUAGUUUGAUUGGGGCGAUUCCCUCCCAAAGAGUAACGGAGGGGUCUACAAAGGUCGGCUAGGCGCGGAUGGAAACCGCUCCGAUAGCGCAAUGGCAAAAGCCGGCUUAACUGCAAGACGGACAUGUCGAGCAGAUGCGAAAGCAGAGCAUAGUGAACCGACCAUUCGCAUUAGAUGCGGUGGAGGAUUAACGGAUAAAAGCUACUCCGGGGAUAACAGGCUGGUAGUGCCCAAGAGUUCAUAUCGACGGCACUGUUCGGCACCUUAACAUUAUCGGGGUGCGUCGCGAGAAAUCGCGCGGCCGAAAUCAAACGCAUUUUAGGAGAAUGUGUUUUGAUUAAAAUAUUGGCUUAUAACGGUGAACUCCAUGCUAUGAUAUAGACAUGGACAAUACCGCGGGAAGUCUGACCAAACUUGAACGAUCUAUAAUAAUCGGCUCUAUUUUGGGAGACGGGUAUAUGAGAAUUAUGCCCGGCAGAUCCGACGCUUUUUUGGAAAUAAAUCAUUCCGUGAAAGCAAAAGAUUAUGUUGAUUACAAAUUCAAUAAACUGAAAAGAAUUUGCGAAUCUGUUCCAAAAGAAAGAGCGACAAAUGAGGAUCGUCAUGCGUAUAGAUUUUUUACAAAACAGCAUAAGGACUUAACAACUCUUUACGGCUUGUUUUACAAAAACAAACGCAAAAUAAUACCAAAAAACCUUGAGCUUGAUCCGAUGUCCAUCGCCAUUUGGUAUAUGGAUGACGGGAGCAAAUCAAGAGACAGCGAUGUUUAUUUGAACACGCAACAGUUUAGUUUACUAGAUCAGAAAAAAUUAUUAAACUGUUUGAGAAAAUUUGGCAUUAACGCGCGUUUAAACAAGGACAAAAAAUACUAUCGCAUAAGAAUACUGAAAGAAAGUAUUCAAAACUUUAUGGACAUUGUCGCGCCGUAUAUGGCGCCGUCAAUGAAAUACAAGUUGGUUAUGACCCUGUAGAGACUGAUGCGAAAGCAGAGAGUGUUCCAAGUUAGGGACGCUAAAACGCCAACUCCUCAUCACGAUUUGAUUGUCGCGAAAGGAUGAAGAUAUAGUCCAUACCAUUAGUAAUAAUGGAGAAAUAUACGAUGUCGGCUCAACCUAUCCUGGGGGUGGAGAAGCUCCCAAGGGUUUGGCUGUUCGCCAAUUAAAAGGUUACGUGAGCUGGGUUCAAACCGUCGUGAGACAGGUUGGUCUCCUAUCUGCUGCAGGCGUUAGAUUUUUGAGGAGCUCUGCUCUCUGUACGAGAGGAUCAGAGUGGACCGACCUCUGGUGUGCCGGCUGUCCUGCCAAGGGCAACGCCGGGUAGCUAUGUCGGGAUGGGAUAAUCGCUGAAAGCAUCUAAGCGAGAAACCCGCUCCAAGAUUAGAAAUCAUAGACAGGUCGCAGAUUACGACCUUGAUAGGCUUUAGGUGUAAGCGCGGCAACGCGUUGAGCCGAGAAGUACUAAUUGUCUGAUUCCUAUUAGG